Molecule: ribosomal RNA, 301 nt
Filed under: uncultured bacterium
Lineage: Bacteria
Description: partial 16S ribosomal RNA
Rfam family: Bacterial small subunit ribosomal RNA
Source: RNAcentral
CAGUCGCCGCGGUAAUACGUAGGGUGCAAGCGUUAAUCGGAAUUACUGGGCGUAAAGCGUGCGCAGGCGGUUAUAUAAGACAGAUGUGAAAUCCCCGUGCUCAACCUGGGAACUGCAUUUGUGACUGUAUAGCUAGAGUACGGCAGAGGGGGAUGGAAUUCCGCGUGUAGCAGUGAAAUGCGUAGAUAUGCGGAGGAACACCGAUGGCGAAGGCAAUCCCCUGGGCCUGUACUGACGCUCAUGCACGAAAGCGUGGGGAGCAAACAGGAUUAGAUACCCCCGUAGUCCCUGUCUCUUAUAC